GAUGCUCUUCAUAACCCACCCCGAGCCACUCCGGAGUUCUCGCUGCAAUAUCCAAAUGGCUCUUACCAGCUAUGGGAAAGGCGAGAGCUGGGACGGCUAUGGGAGCCUUUUCCUCCUCCUCUCCUUUCCGCUCCCGUGCAAAGCCGCCCCUCCUUUUUCCCGUCGCUAGAUGGCGUGUGGAUAACGGGAAGUAAGCUGCGCGACGGGGUGCCAGGAGGGUCCCCAGGUCCGCGCUUGCCGCCCCGCGCGACCCUGCUGGGCUACACCAGGGCCCCGUUGCCGCCUCGAAGCCGCAAGAGAGGUCGUGGAACCCCUGCAUCUCCGGGGGAAACCGGGCACGUAAUUCCUUGAGCUCUGCGUGCCGCUCUGAUAGCUCCCGUAGAAAAAAGGAACUAUCUGUAUUUUUUAACUAAGAUUCUGAAAACGCUUGAUGUCCUGUACAGAGCUCGCAUCAAGAUACCAGAAGUUUUUCCGGAACAGAAUUCUUCAUUUGCAGCAAAGGGUUCCCACACACACAGAGGUCUGCUUUAUGAUGGGUUCAGAGCAAAACCCCACAAGCAAUUGAGCUGACACAACAGGAGUGGUAGACUGCUAUGACAUGGAUUUUAUGGAAUCACAGAAUGGCUAAGGCUGGGAGAGGCAUCUGAAGGUCAUCUUGUCCACCCCCCUGCACUUUUCCAGGAUUGUGUCUGGGUGGAUUUUGAACAUGUCCAAUGAUGGAGACUUUGCAGUCUCUCUGGCCAACCAGUUCCAGUGCUCAGUCACCCUCACAGUAAAAAAUUUCAAGCUUCACUGUCAUUAAAUAUUUUGUGUGAUGACUGCCUGCUCUAAAUUAGAACUAAGAAGCAUUUGUAGAAGUUCAUGACUACCUCCCGGUUCAGGUCUUACAGUUAGACUUCGAAAUCCUGUGUCUGUGUAACACUGCCUGUGUCAGUCUCUUGGAAUGCAUCUGUCCUAGUCAGUUCUAGUAUGCUUCAGAAUGCAUGGGAAUGUGUUUGUCCUUGCUAGGCUAAUCCCACAGUAGGCCAGUCCUACACUUGCUAGGCCAAUCUCAGCACACUCCCUAAAAAAAUCUUGGCCUGUUUCAACUGUUUAUGUCCCUCAGCAACUCCUUGGCAUUGUCUGUCAUUCAGAGCAGCUCAGGAGAACGCUCAAUGGGCAGUUUGCCUUCAGUUACCCAUUCCCAACAAUUUCUUAAGUGUAGAUGCCAGCUAUUCUGUGAAUUAUGUCAGAGCCUUCUACUCUGUGAGUGAUGUCAGACAUGUUUAAUUUGCUGGUGUAUAAGUGGCCUGUGUCUGCAGGAUAUCUGAAUGUGUGCUCAGCACUGUGACCUGAGCUUUAGUGCAUCGUGCUGCUGAACGUGCCCUUGACUCCAGGCUUCAUGUGUGAUAUGUGUUAGGGAGAUGGGGCAGGCAAGAAUAACAAAACUGCCUCUUUGCUUCUUGUCUUGGUUUCUGGGGAAUAUUUUCUUUGACUUUUUCCUUUUAGAACUUGUCCAGAUCUUGGGCUGUGUUUGUGAAUUUGCCUUUCUGAAUUUUAGCCCUCUAAGCAUGAAAAUCAAUGUAAUUUAUUUUUUACUUACAUCAGAGUGGAUAAUGUAACUCAGGCACAUAAUAAAUAAACAAAUCAGCUUGCUUAAUUUGAACUGAAAUACAACUUUUCAAUGCUUUUUUUAGCCUUCAAAAAAUUUCUAAAAUUUAGGAUCAAGAACAGCUCCGAGCUGUUUUCGAUUGAAAACUGCAAUUGCUCUCUGUAUUUCCAAUGAAUCUAUUUCAGUGAGAAUGAAAAAAUGGACUUUUUUAAACCUCAGUAUUUAUUUUUAAUUUCACCUGCAUUUGAGACCUCCUGCUGGCCUACCUGUGUUUUUCUCAAUUUAUAUUCAAUGUAAAACUGAUUUUGGGAGAGAAUCAAUCACUUGGUUUGGAAUGCUGAUUUCUGAUGUUUAGCUGUAUGCCUCUGUAGCACAGUUAUCUUUAUGCUGUAAGUAUAUGUAACUCAAGAAUGUACAUUAGCAAAAUAAGGUAUUUCUCUUUCAAUAUGCAUUUCUUAAUUUCUCUUUCAAUAUGCAUCUCAUAAGAUCUGCAAGAUGUUACAAGGAGUUUGAAGAUAUAGUACGAUAACAUAAAAGUAGUGUUUUAUGUAGAUGUAAAUAACAAAACCCAAGAACUAUAUUAAAAUAAUGUUUAAAUUUAGAAAAUUCUCUUGUGCUCCUGUUAGCAUUGUUGUUCAACUGAAUGUACAAAUGGUUAAUUAUAUAAAUCUGUUACGUUAUAACCUACUGAAGCAAGAAAUGGCAGCACUCAGCUUCUUCUUUUAUUCAUAUCUUGCAGCUGCCGUUGUACCACAGACAUUUUUGACCUUAUAUUAUUUUGCUGUACUUUUAAGCUUCUCUGAGUAAGUUGUGUUACACUUUUCAUCGUGUACUCGGAGUUCCAAAAUGAAUUAAAUUCUCCCAUCUGCUCUUUUCACUAA
This is a long non-coding RNA of Strigops habroptila (Kakapo), 2472 nucleotides long. RefSeq lists it as uncharacterized. Lineage: Eukaryota; Metazoa; Chordata; Aves; Psittaciformes; Psittacidae. The transcript has 3 exons. The record is from RefSeq and is a predicted model, not a curated record.